This 301-nucleotide ribosomal RNA is filed under the name uncultured bacterium. RNAcentral describes it as "partial 16S ribosomal RNA". It matches the Rfam family "Bacterial small subunit ribosomal RNA", at positions 509 to 809 of the family's 1533-position model. The record is from RNAcentral.
CAGUAGCCGCGGUAAUACGUAGGUGGCAAGCGUUGUCCGGAAUUAUUGGGCGUAAAGGGCUCGCAGGCGGUUUCUUAAGUCUGAUGUGAAAGCCCCCGGCUCAACCGGGGAGGGUCAUUGGAAACUGGGAAACUUGAGUGCAGAAGAGGAGAGUGGAAUUCCAUGUGUAGCGGUGAAAUGCGUAGAGAUGUGGAGGAACACCAGUGGCGAAGUCGACUCUCUGGUCUGUAACUGACGCUGAGGAGCGAAAGCGUGGGGAGCGAACAGGAUUAGAUACCCCCGUAGUCCCUGUCUCUUAUAU